This 371-nucleotide unclassified non-coding RNA is filed under the name uncultured bacterium. RNAcentral's name for it is "contains 16S-23S intergenic spacer region". The record is from RNAcentral.
UCCAGCUUAUCGCCGGCAGUCUCCUGAGAGUGCACCUUUCGGUUAGCAACACAGGACAAGGGUUGCGCUCGUUGCGGGACUUAACCCAACAUCUCACGACACGAGCUGACGACGGCCAUGCACCACCUGUGCAGGCUCCGAAGAGCACCCGCUUUCACGGGUUUCACCCUGCAUGUCAAGCCUAGGUAAGGUUCUUCGCGUUGCGUCGAAUUGAACCACAUGCUCCGCUGCUUGUGCGGGCCCCCGUCAAUUCCUUUGAGUUUUAAUCUUGCGACCGUACUCCCCAGGCGGGGCACUUAAUGCGUUAGCUGCGGCACCCAGGGGGUCAAUACCCCGGACACCUAGUGCCCAUCGUUUACAGCGUGGACUAC